GAUGAAGAACGCAGUGAAAUGCGAUACUUGGUGUGAAUUGCAGAAUCCCGUGAACCAUCGAGUCUUUGAACGCAAGUUGCGCCCGAAGCCAUUAGGCCGAGGGCACGCCUGCCUGGGCGUCACACGUCGUUGCCCCCCCAUCUACUCCUUCGGGAUUGCGGGGGGCGGAUGAUGGCCUCCCGUGCGCCUCGUCGCGCGGUUGGCAUAAAUGCCAAGUCCUCGGCGACGCACGCCACGACAAUCGGUGGUUGCGAAACCUCGGUUGCCCGUCGUGUGCGGUCGUCGCGCAUCGAGGGCUCGAAAAAAUUGCCGGGCUCCGGCUCGGCUUUCAACGCGACCCCAGGUCAGGCGGGGUUACCCGCUGAAUUUAAGCAUAUCAAUAGCGGAGGA
Molecule: unclassified non-coding RNA, 390 nt
Filed under: soil metagenome
Description: partial contains 5.8S ribosomal RNA, internal transcribed spacer 2, and large subunit ribosomal RNA
Rfam family: 5.8S ribosomal RNA (bases 1-122)
Source: RNAcentral